Molecule: ribosomal RNA, 532 nt
Filed under: uncultured archaeon
Lineage: Archaea
Description: bacterial SSU rRNA
Rfam family: Archaeal small subunit ribosomal RNA
Source: RNAcentral
UCGCGAAAACUUUGCAAUACACGAAAGUGUGACAGGGUCAUCCCGAGUGCCGACCGCUGAGGUUGGCUUUUACCCAGUCUAGAAAGCUGGGGGAAUAAGGAGAGGGCAAGUCUGGUGUCAGCCGCCGCGGUAAUACCAGCUCUCCGAGUGGUGUGGACGUUUAUUGGGCCUAAAGCAUCCGUAGCUGGCUGAACAAGUCCCCUGUUAAACCCACCGAUUUAAUCGUUGGUCUGCGGGGGAUACUGCUCGGCUAGGGGACGAGAGAGGCAGGCGGUAUUCUCGGGGUAGGGGUGAAAUCCUAUAAUCCCGGGAAGACCACCAGUGGCGAAGGCUGCCUGCUAGAGCGCGCCCGACGGUGAGGGAUGAAAGCUGGGGGAGCGAACCGGAUUAGAUACCCGGGUAGUCCCAGCUGUAAACGAUGCAGACUAGGUGUUUGGACGGCCACGUGCCGUUCUAGUGCCGCAGGGAAGCUGUUAAGUCUGCCGCCUGGGGAGUACGAUCGCAAGAUUGAAACUUAAAGGAUUGGCGGGGG